Molecule: ribosomal RNA, 305 nt
Filed under: uncultured bacterium
Lineage: Bacteria
Description: bacterial SSU rRNA
Rfam family: Bacterial small subunit ribosomal RNA
Source: RNAcentral
UUGCUCCUACGGGGGGCAGCAGUGAGGAAUAUUGGUCAAUGGGCGCGAGCCUGAACCAGCAACGCCGCGUGAAGGAAGAAGGCUUUCGGGUUGUAAACUUCUUUUCUCAGGGACGAAGCAAGUGACGGUACCUGAGGAAUAAGCCACGGCUAACUACGUGCCAGCAGCCGCGGUAAUACGUAGGUGGCAAGCGUUAUCCGGAUUUACUGGGUGUAAAGGGCGUGUAGGCGGGACUGCAAGUCAGAUGUGAAAACCACGGGCUCAACCUGUGGCCUGCAUUUGACACUGUAGUUCUUGAGUACUGG